CGAACGGGUGAGUAAUACAUCGGAACGUGUCCGCUCGUGGGGGACAACCAGCCGAAAGGUUGGCUAAUACCGCAUGAGUUCUACGGAAGAAAGAGGGGGACCCGCAAGGGCCUCUCGCGAGCGGAGCGGCCGAUGACUGAUUAGCCAGUUGGUGAGGUAACGGCUCACCAAAGCAACGAUCAGUAGCUGGUCUGAGAGGACGACCAGCCACACUGGGACUGAGACACGGCCCAGACUCCUACGGGAGGCAGCAGUGGGGAAUUUUGGACAAUGGGCGCAAGCCUGAUCCAGCUAUUCCGCGUGUGGGAUGAAGGCCCUCGGGUUGUAAACCACUUUUGUAGAGAACGAAAAGACAUCUUCGAAUAAAGGAUGUUGCUGACGGUACUCUAAGAAUAAGCACCGGCUAACUACGUGCCAGCAGCCGCGGUAAUACGUAGGGUGCGAGCGUUAAUCGGAAUUACUGGGCGUAAAGGGUGCGCAGGCGGUUGAGUAAGACAGAUGUGAAAUCCCCGAGCUUAACUCGGGAAUGGCAUAUGUGACUGCUCGACUAGAGUGUGUCAGAGGGAGGUGGAAUUCCACGUGUAGCAGUGAAAUGCGUAGAUAUGUGGAAGAACACCGAUGGCGAAGGCAGCCUCCUGGGACAUAACUGACGCUCAGGCACG
Molecule: ribosomal RNA, 662 nt
Filed under: uncultured beta proteobacterium
Lineage: Bacteria; Pseudomonadati; Pseudomonadota; Betaproteobacteria
Description: bacterial SSU rRNA
Rfam family: Bacterial small subunit ribosomal RNA
Source: RNAcentral